This 714-nucleotide long non-coding RNA is filed under the name Anser brachyrhynchus (Pink-footed goose). RNAcentral's name for it is "lncRNA (ENSABRG00000015464.1)". The record is from RNAcentral. Lineage: Eukaryota; Metazoa; Chordata; Aves; Anseriformes; Anatidae.
AAGCUUAAACUGUGACCUGAAUUACUCUUGCUGAAUCACAGUUGAAUUUCAGGAGAGUUUUUGGAUAGCAUAUUAUCAUUGCAGAAGCUUUCCUUUUUUUGUAGAUGUGUGAUAUUACUGAUACUGUUGGAAUAAUCUGACCUUCCUUUCCUGUUUCUCUACUUCUGCCAUCCAGCCGCAAGCAUAACCUUCAGCUAAUUCUGGGUUCAACUCUUCAAAACCCUGUUCACAAAGCAAGAGGUAUUCAGUUCCGCUGGUACAAAAAAAAAGGGGAAUAUGAAGUCUUUGUGUAGAUGGUUAAUCUUUUGAAGCAAGUAUGAAUUCAGAAUGACUUGCUAUGCUGACGUUAGAAGAACUAUGGUCUAUGCAGUGCUGGAGUUCAACUAGUAACAUAAAACAACAGCCCUGAAGACUUACGCAUCAUGAUCUGACGCAAGUAAUUUGUUUUGUUUCUGUUCAUUGCCUACAUGGAAGACAGAAACUUACUGAAGAUCUGAAGUUCAUCCCAAUAAACUGACCUUAAUACUCUCAAAACAGUUGUGCAGUGUAUCAAUCAGCCCAGGGAUUUCUUUAAAGCACCUCUACUUGUGGUGGGUAGAAAAACUGGGAAGCACAAGUAGCCCCCUCUAUUCAGGGAGUGAGUUUGCUGAAAACUAUGUAAUCACUACAGCAAGUUCUAAGGAGUUAUUCAGAAUACUGACAGACUUAAUGUAA